UCACUGGGAGUAAUCUCGGCGCUGACCUCGCCUUCCCGGAGCGGAAGUGCCUCCGGCUACACACAGCUCCCGGACUACAUUUCCCAGAAUCUCCAAGCGGAAGCGCCUCGGAUUCCACGCAUCACCUGGACUACAUUUCCCAGAAUGAAGUUCGGGUGACCGCACUUCCCACCAGCUGUCUUGGUUUUGGCAGAAGAGCCGAUUCGGAUUUAGAGUCAGUUCUCCGGUGCUGAAACUGUCAGAAUUUCUUUUCGUUUUAUUCAUUUCCUAAAGUCACGAGAAAAUAAUGUAAGCAGGCAGUUUUCCGGGUUAAAAGUAGCUACAAAUUUUUUAAAUUCGCUGUAUAAGAGAGAAAAGUGAGGCUUGCACUACGAAAAUAAAAACCCAACAUUUUUAGCAGAGGCAAAGGGUAAACAAAAAUGGGAAACGUAAAAGUGACCUAGGCUGAGCUGCUUAACACAGAAUUUAACGCUGGCUUUCAAACUUGUUUCCAAAGCCGGUUUUCCAAAUAUCAGCGAUGAAAACUGUUAGACAAAAACGCAGUUUAUUGCCUACUGCUGUAAGGGAAAACGCCACCUCUGCCGAGCUUCAAGCACCUUGACAAAGUGUCGGCGGAGACAGGAAGACGACGUUGGGACUGACUGAGAUUUAGAAGUUUGGCUUAAGGCGGGUUUUUAAAUGCAAAAGGCUUGAUUGGGAUUGCGUGACGGUUUUGACGUUGCUGGGCAGGAUUGGUGGAACAGCAAGGAUUUACAGAAGCACCAGAGAUGUUUUGAAGCUGUGCUUUAAGAUAUAGGCAGUGAUCAAUCGCCCUGAACCAGCUGACCUGACCACAGGAAUGUGCCUGCACAGAUGAGACGUGGAGGUGUCCCAGAGUUCCCUUUGCUUCAUUACCACGCUAAGACUGCCACCCAAGGUCCUGAGUUGCCUCGGGCCUCAUGGUUGGGAGAGGCUUUGGUCUGAGGGCUACUGGACGGCAGGUGCUUGUUUCCUUCCUGAGUUCCCUCAGGCCUCACCAGCUCACCCUAGGAGUUGACCACAAUCGCUGAUGACUGCGGCAACUUUUUUUUGUUUGAGGAUUGGCAGGCAAUAUUAUUUCUUAGGACCAAGGUGACCUCUGAUUAUGUGCUUAUUCCAACUACUCCCGCAUCAUCUGGAAGCAGCAACCCCUGCAAAACCUGCUGGUGCCAAAUGGAAAUCUUCAUAUAUCCAAUUAUUUUAGUAUAUCACCAAUAAGCACACUUUUAGUCAUUUGGAGCCUGCUUAUUUUGUAUACUCUGCAAAAUUGCAUCCAACAUCUGCUAGCAACCCUGGAGAUAGACCCUAAACAUCCACUGCCUUUCAGAGUCCUGUGACCCCAAGACUCCACCCUGUACUGCCCAGUGACACCACUUAGACCCAUAAGCCCCCUCUCCAAUCCCCACCUUCCCAUGGGCGCUCCUUUGCCCUCUCCUUCUCUCCUCAACGGCGGUGGCCACACACCGCAGUCUCUGGAAGGUCACAGAUGCUUCCUGUCAAAGCACCACCCCAAUGAACCUCAUUGGGUGCUGCUGCCACAUCCUGGUUAUUAUUGUUUUCCUUGAUCAGCCCCAAAAUCUUCCCACUCCAAGAACAAAGGCCCGGGAGAGAACAGGAGAUAAGACCAAACUGGAUCAUGAAUUGUGGUAUCAUUGGUCUUCUGCAUUUUGACUGUUUACUUGAAUUAGUUUUUUUGUUUGUUUUGGGGGGCUUUUUUUUUUCUUUUUAGGGUCACACUCCUAGC
Molecule: long non-coding RNA, 1762 nt
Organism: Sus scrofa (pig)
Lineage: Eukaryota; Metazoa; Chordata; Mammalia; Artiodactyla; Suidae
Source: RefSeq, a predicted model, not a curated record